This 70-nucleotide transfer RNA is filed under the name Candidatus Luteimonas excrementigallinarum. It matches the Rfam family "tRNA". Rfam says of the family: Transfer RNA (tRNA) molecules are approximately 80 nucleotides in length. The record is from RNAcentral. Lineage: Bacteria; Pseudomonadati; Pseudomonadota; Gammaproteobacteria; Lysobacterales; Lysobacteraceae.
CCAGGUAGCUCAGUUGGUAGAGCAGGGGAUUGAAAAUCCCCGUGUCGGGGGUUCGAUUCCCUCCCUGGCC